AGGAGUAAAAUUGUCAGCGUCUACCAAAUCAUCAGCAACAUUGAUAUGCAAACUAGGCUCACCGCAACUUUGUUGAUAUUUCUGCUUCAAUUGUUGUUGAUUACCAGCACCAAAUCUUCCAGAACAUCCAGAUGCUGGGCUCUUCAGAUUUGCCCUCAAAUCAGAAGAAAGUUUCGACCUUUGGGAAGAAGUUUUUGAAGCGGGCCUUCUAGCGGAUUGCCACUGGGAAAGGAAAGAAGGGUUCUUUCUAAAACUUUGUGAAGACGAUUUUUUGGGCACAUCAUUUUCGUUAGCAAUUGAUUUAUUAGAUCUAGGCCUGGAGGAAUUAGGAGCUGAUUUUGGGGCGGACUUGGCAAUGAGGGGUUUAUUUCUGAGUUUGAAAUUGGGAUCCUUCUGAAGAUGGGAACUCGAAGCAGAAGAAGAGGAGCGAGGUCUUGAGUUUGACGUGGAGGAAAGCAGAAACUU
Molecule: long non-coding RNA, 465 nt
Filed under: Coffea arabica (coffee)
Lineage: Eukaryota; Viridiplantae; Streptophyta; Magnoliopsida; Gentianales; Rubiaceae
Description: long non-coding RNA (CARA_LNC007827)
Source: RNAcentral